GAGGGAUGGCCGAGCGGUUGAAGGCGGCGGUCUUGAAAACCGUUGUGCGCAAGCACCGUGGGUUCGAAUCCUACUCCCUCC
Molecule: transfer RNA, 81 nt
Filed under: Desulfobulbus oralis
Lineage: Bacteria; Pseudomonadati; Thermodesulfobacteriota; Desulfobulbia; Desulfobulbales; Desulfobulbaceae
Rfam family: tRNA
About the family: Transfer RNA (tRNA) molecules are approximately 80 nucleotides in length. Their secondary structure includes four short double-helical elements and three loops (D, anti-codon, and T loops).
Source: RNAcentral